RNAcentral lists this non-coding RNA (46 nucleotides) under Schistosoma mansoni. The record is from RNAcentral. Lineage: Eukaryota; Metazoa; Platyhelminthes; Trematoda; Strigeidida; Schistosomatidae.
AUUCAGAUGACGAGUCCCAAAAUAAGAUGGAACUCGUGUCCUGGAU